This 467-nucleotide ribosomal RNA is filed under the name uncultured bacterium. Its description in RNAcentral is "partial 16S ribosomal RNA". It matches the Rfam family "Bacterial small subunit ribosomal RNA", at positions 28 to 506 of the family's 1533-position model. The record is from RNAcentral.
GACGAACGCUGGCGGCGUGCUUAACACAUGCAAGUCGAACGGAAAGGCCCUGCUUUUGUGGGGUGCUCGAGUGGCGAACGGGUGAGUAACACGUGAGUAACCUGCCCUUGACUUUGGGAUAACUUCAGGAAACUGGGGCUAAUACCGGAUAGGAGCUCCUGCUGCAUGGUGGGGGUUGGAAAGUUUCGGCGGUUGGGGAUGGACUCGCGGCUUAUCAGCUUGUUGGUGGGGUAGUGGCUUACCAAGGCUUUGACGGGUAGCCGGCCUGAGAGGGUGACCGGCCAAAUGGGGAGUGAGAUACGGCCCAGACUCCUACGGGAGGCAGGAGUGGGGAAUAUUGCACAAUGGGCGGAAGCCUGAUGCAGCAACGCCGCGGGGGGGAUGACGGCCUUCGGGUUGUAAACCGCUUUCGCCGGUGACGAAGCGGGGGUGACGGUAAUGGGUAAAGAAGCACCGGCUAACUACGG